AUACGGAGGGUGCAAGCGUUAAUCGGAAUUACUGGGCGUAAAGGGUACGUAGGCGGUUAGAUAAGUUGGAUGUGAAAGCCCUGGGCUCAACCUAGGAACUGCAUUCAAAACUGUCUAACUAGAGUGUAUAAGAGGUUAGCGGAAUUCCAGGUGUAGCAGUGAAAUGCGUAGAUAUCUGGAGGAACAUCAGUGGCGAAGGCGGCUAACUGGUAUAACACUGACGCUGAGGUACGAAAGCGUGGGGAGCGAACGGGAUUAGAAACCCCGGUAGUCC
This 274-nucleotide ribosomal RNA is filed under the name uncultured bacterium. RNAcentral's name for it is "partial 16S ribosomal RNA". It matches the Rfam family "Bacterial small subunit ribosomal RNA", at positions 523 to 796 of the family's 1533-position model. The record is from RNAcentral.